Molecule: ribosomal RNA, 465 nt
Filed under: uncultured bacterium
Lineage: Bacteria
Description: partial 16S ribosomal RNA
Rfam family: Bacterial small subunit ribosomal RNA
Source: RNAcentral
GAUGAACGCUGGCGGCGUGCUUAACACAUGCAAGUCGAACGGAAAGGCUCCUGCUUGCCGGGGUACUCGAGUGGCGAACGGGUGAGUAACACGUGGGUGAUCUGCCCUGCACUUCGGGAUAAGCCUGGGAAACUGGGUCUAAUACCGGAUAGGACCACAUUUUGGAUGGUGUGGUGGAGAGUUUUUCGGUGUGGGUUGAGCUCGCGGCCUAUCAGCUUGUUGGUGGGGUAAUGGCCUACCAAGGCGUCGACGGGUAGCCGGCCUGAGAGGGUGUACGGCCACAUUGGGACUGAGAUACGGCCCAGACUCCUACGGGAGGCAGCAGUGGGGAAUAUUGCACAAUGGGCGCAAGCCUGAUGCAGCGACGCCGCGUGGGGGAUGACGGCCUUCGGGUUGUAAACUCCUUUCGCUAGGGACGAAGCGCAAGUGACGGUACCUGGAGAAGAAGCACCGGCUAACUACGUG